UCGCCUUUAUCCACUGAGUCUUAUCAUCCAUAGACUUUGUUGAACUCUGAAUAUUCUCUUCUUUUUCUGAGGUUAGUUAGGAAUUUGGAGCACUAGGUAAUCUGAGCAACUUCCCAUUCUGGAGGAUAUGAGAACAUGGUUGGCAGUUGUUAUGAAGUAGAAAAAGCAGGAAAAAAAUGAUAAUAAGUGACCCCACCUCCCCAGUUGAUUGCCACAGCAACAAUCUGCCCAGAGAGAGACUGUUGAGCAUUCUCCUCCCACAUCGCUGCCUGGCUGCUGCAGACAGGACAGACUGUACCUGGAUAUGUGGUCAACUGCCUCCCGGAAAACCAGGGCUGACAUCACCAGAAAACAAUUAACCCAUAGCAGACAGUUCCACAGAAGAUGAGGAGUCACAGCUGGGUGAGACAAUUCUGCUCCCUUCAAAAGGAGGACACAGACACCUGCCUUCUUACCUCCCUCAAGAAACAAAUGCCCGAUGUCUCCGGAAUGACAGCAGACAAGAUGCCUCUUCAGCCACACCUCCCACUAAAGGUGGACCUACCAACAGCCAGCUCUCCCCUCCCCACGUUGCUCUGUGCCCGGAGGAAGUAGCCAGACUUGAGUCUAUGCCCUUUUUCCAAAGAGAGCCUAAAAUGUUAAUCAUAAUUAUCACUUCAAUCUCCUGUCACCCCUAUAUCCAAAGAGUUUGGAAUGUUAAGUUGGGAGCAUAGCCCCAGCCCCUAGCAUCCAUCCCAGCUCCUUGGCCUGGGAGUUGUAUUGGUCUGGACUCCAAAUCCCAGCACUCCCACAGGGUAUUUAAGUGGGCUCCCAGAGGAGAAACACAUGGUUUCCGGAUCUGCAUGGGCUCCCUGCUUUCCUGUCUCACUGCCAUGUGCUUGGCCACCUGAAUAAAAUGAUGGGUAUUUUGA
Long non-coding RNA from Myodes glareolus (Bank vole), 911 nucleotides. RefSeq lists it as uncharacterized. NCBI's taxonomy places the organism in Eukaryota, Metazoa, Chordata, Mammalia, Rodentia, Cricetidae. The record is from RefSeq and is a predicted model, not a curated record.